Long non-coding RNA from Papaver somniferum (opium poppy), 1058 nucleotides. RefSeq lists it as uncharacterized. The record is from RefSeq and is a predicted model, not a curated record. Lineage: Eukaryota; Viridiplantae; Streptophyta; Magnoliopsida; Ranunculales; Papaveraceae. The transcript has 7 exons.
UCGAAAUUCACUCUCACAAAUCAAAUCUAAAUCUUACAUCAUCUCAAAAUCAAACCCAUUUACCAGCGGAAAUCGAAAGCAAACCCUUUUUUAUAACCUUAGAUCAAGUAGCUUUGCUCCUGAAACCCUAGGGUUUCAAUAAUGGGAAGAAGAAUCUAUCGUUCUCAAGAUUCAAGAUAUGGAGUCAUCAUUAACGAAAUCAUAUAUGUGAAAAUCAGAACUGAAGCUGUCUGUUUAAGGACAAUCUUGGGAUGGUCUGAGAGGUGGUGCUGACACAUACAUGUGAAUGUUGAUAUGCAAGGCACAAAAGAAGACAAAUAUGCUUCCCGGAGAGCGAUUCCCCCUAUGCUUCAAGCCGAGGAGGAUGAAAGAUUCGCCAGCCAAUGGAAAUAGUAUCUAGAGGAAGAAGCGUGAAUCAUGACGGAUGUUCCAGGCUGGAAGGUCGCUGAAAGGGUUUAACACUCUCUUGAUGUCUGUUGUAUGUGAAGAUGACGAAGGAUACUCUGAGGAGGAACCGGAGGAGCAAGGUGUUGAUAUUGAGAACCAAUACUACAGCUCUAAAGGAAGGAUACUCUGAGGAGGAACCGGAGGAGCAAGAUGUUGAUAUUGAGAACCAAUACUACAGCUCUAAAGGUUUGGUUAAAACUGAUCCCGAAUGAGCAUUGAAAGGAUUUUCUGAAGUGGUGCCUGUUGAACUGGAUAUGUCAGAAGGGCAAGUUCCGUAAAAUGCUAAGCUUGCCAUCUAGAGCCAUGAAGUGAGUUUAUGCAUCUAGGUUGUCUAAGGAAGAUUCUCAACGAUGAACUAAUGGCAGAACCAAUCAGUUAGCAGUGUAGGGAAAGAAGGUACAGUCAUUGUGGGUAAAACGCAAAAGUAUAUGAAGAUUGUUAAUAAAUGUAAUAUCUUGGCAGCACCCAAGUUACUCCACAACCUGGACUUCCACCUGAGGAAGCAGGGGCCGCGAUAGCUGACGAAUAUCAUUAAUUUCAUUUUUAUUAUUAAUUUAUUUUAGAAAUUGUAUCCAAAGAUUCUAUUUGUUUGAAUAUUUUUUUGGGUAACU